AUUGAACGCUGGCGGCAGGCCUAACACAUGCAAGUCGAGCGGAGCGGCGGACGGGUGAGUAAUGCCUAGGAAUCUGCCUGGUAGUGGGGGAUAACGUCCGGAAACGGGCGCUAAUACCGCAUACUAUCAAAUGAGCCUAGGUCGGAUUAGCUAGUAGGUGGGGUAACGGCCUACCAAGGCGACGACCCGGAACUGGUCUGAGAGGAUGAUCAGUCACACGUGAACUGAUACACGGUCCAGACUCCUACGGGAGGCAGCAGGGGGGAAUAUUGGACAAUGGACGAAAGCCUGAUCCAGCCAUGCCGCGUGUGGGAAGAAGGUCUUCGGAGUGUAAAGCACAUUAAGUUGGGAGGCGUUACCAACAGAAUAAGCACCGGCUAACUCCGUGCCAGCAGCCGCGGUAAUUC
Molecule: ribosomal RNA, 407 nt
Filed under: uncultured bacterium
Lineage: Bacteria
Description: partial 16S ribosomal RNA
Rfam family: Bacterial small subunit ribosomal RNA
Source: RNAcentral